This 490-nucleotide ribosomal RNA is filed under the name uncultured bacterium. RNAcentral describes it as "partial 16S ribosomal RNA". It matches the Rfam family "Bacterial small subunit ribosomal RNA", at positions 28 to 507 of the family's 1533-position model. The record is from RNAcentral.
GAUGAACGCUAGCUACAGGCUUAACACAUGCAAGUCGCGGGGCAGCAUGGGGGUUGCUUGCAAUCCCCGAUGGCGACCGGCGCACGGGUGAGUAACGCGUAUCCAGCCUGCCCUUCACCACGGGAUAACCCGGCGAAAGUCGGACUAAUACCGUAUGUUGUCCAUUGACGGCAUCCGAUUUGGACGAAAGGUUUGGCGGUGAAGGAUGGGGAUGCGUCCGAUUAGCUGGACGGCGGGGUGACGGCCCACCGUGGCGACGAUCGGUAGGGGUUCUGAGAGGAAGGUCCCCCACACUGGAACUGAGACACGGUCCAGACUCCUACGGGAGGCAGCAGUGAGGAAUAUUGGUCAAUGGGCGUAAGCCUGAACCAGCCAAGUAGCGUGCAGGAUGACGGCCCUAUGGGUUGUAAACUGCUUUUAUGCGGGGAUAAAGUGGCCCACGUGUGGGUUUUUGCAGGUACCGCAUGAAUAAGGACCGGCUAAUUCCGUG